CAUUGCUCGAGCUGUUGUUGAUGAUAUUCUCCCUCCUGCCUUCUUGAACAAACAAGUUACCACUCUCCCGAAAGACUCGAAAGGAAUUCAAGUAAUAAAGAGAGCUGAGAAGAACUACUUAUCGGCCCCUCUUCAUGCUGAAGUUAUUGAAAGGAGGUGGGGAGGAAGCAAAAGCAAGACAGUAGAGGAUGCUAAGUCUAAAAUAAACGAUCUUCUUGUUGAGUACAUAGCAAGUGGUGAUAAGGUAGAGGCAUGUAGAUGCAUUAAAGACCUUAAAAUGCCAUUUUUCCAUCAUGAAAUUGUUAAAAGGGCUUUAAUCUUAGCGAUGGAAAGGAGAACAGCAGAGUGUGCUUUGCUAGAUUUAUUAAAGGAGGCCUCUGAAGAGGGAGUGAUAAACUCUAGUCAAGUAUUGAAAGGGUUUGAGCGGCUUAUCGAUACGGUAGAUGACUUAUCACUUGAUAUUCUUAGUGCAAGGGAUAUGCUUCAAUUACUUAUUUCCAAGGCAGCCUCAGAGGGGUGGCUCUGUGCAUCUUUGCUGAAGUCUCUCUCUCCUCGACCAAAUGGGUUUCUCGAAGAAGGCGAUGCAAGGGCCUUCAAGUCAAAGGCAAACUUGAUAAUUCAAGAGUAUUUCUUGUCAGGAGAUGUGGCCGAAGUGGCUGAGAGGCUCGAAUCCGAGAACCUCCUCUCCCCUUGCUUUAAGGUCAUAUUUGUAAAGAGGUUGAUUUCACUGGCAAUGGAUAGAAAGAAUAGAGAAAAGGAGAUGGCCUCAGUAUUAUUAUCUUCGCUAAAUUUUCCUUCAGACGAUGUGGUAAAUGGCUUUGUCAAUCUGAUUGAGGCGGCCGAGGACACCUCAUUGGACAUCCCAAUUGUGGUCGAGGAUUUGGCACUAUUUUUAGCGAGAGCAAUGGUAGACGAGGCCAUAGCUCCGCUAAAUUUAGAGGAGAUUGAGUCACAAGUGAAGCCCAACUCGAUUGGGUCUAAAGUUAUUCGAAUGACUCGAGCCAUGCUUGGGGCGCGGCUCUCAGGUGAGAGAAUAUUAAGGUGUUGGGGUGGAGAUGGUAGUGGAAGCAAUGGUCGAGAUAUAGAAGAAGUCAAGGGGAAAAUUGGGAAACUACUCGAGGAAUAUGAUUCGGGAGGAGGCGUAGGCGAGGCUUGUCGAUGCAUAAGAGAAGUAGGUAUGCCAUUUUUUCACCACGAAGUGGUGAAAAAGUCGUUGGUUAUGGCAAUGGAGAGGAAGAGUGAGAGACCAUUGAGGUUGCUUGAAGAGUGCUUUGCAGUGGGGUUGAUAUCGAGUUAUCAGAUGGCGAAGGGGUUUGCAAGAGUGGCUGAGGGCCUUGAGGAUUUGGCAUUGGAUGUGCCCGAUGUGGGCCAUGAGUUUGCGAGUUGCGUAGAGAGGGCCAAGGCUGCCGGGUGGUUGAACUAGUCAUUUGGGGUCGACCGUGACGACCCCAAUGGGCCUUGUGUCCCAGCAUAGAGAGAGCAGAGCAUGUUGCUGUGCCUAUGCAGCAACAGGCUUUGCUCAUGGGAGUUCAUGACCAAUUUCAUGGAUAUGGUUCUUAUUAGGUCUCUUAUCUUUUGCACUUUUUCUCUUUUUCUCCUCCUUGGGCCUUAGUUCUUUUCUAUUUUUAUUUAUUUAUUUUAACCACGAGGAGAAAACAAUCUCAAGGGUGAUGACACUGAUGAGCAAUGUACUAUUUAUAUCCACUUGGGCCAAAGUUUGGUGCUGUUCUUAUGAUUAAUUGCUCCCUAGAUGUUAAAUGGUGGGAGUCUUUUUGUUGUUUUUGGUGUAUUUUAUUGGGAUUAAUUUCAAUACUCUUGUAUUGAGAGAGUACAUGGGCCGAAAGCAGUUUAACUGGCUUAAUUGGUACACUACAGACUGAUUCAACUGUUCAACCUGACAAAUUCCGGAGGGUCAAAAAAUUGUUAAAAAAAUAAAAAGAUGUAAAUUCUAAUAAAAUAUAAAAACAUAUAAAAAAUGAUUAAAACAAAACACAUUCAAAUGAAAUUGAAAAUUAAUGAAAAAAAUAGAUUUUAAAAAUGAAUAUUAAUGAUCAAAAUAUUUACCAUAAUAUAAAAUAUAUUAAAAAAUAUAUUACAAAUCAAAUUCUUUAUUUUUUUUAAGCUCAACUUCUUUUAGAGAGCUCAAAUUCUUUUAGAGCUGUUGUGUGUAUGAGAGAGAACCACGGUAAUGAUGAGGUAGAGAGAGCAAUGUUUAAAAAAACUAUCUAAUGCUUGCCUAGGCGGCCUGAACCAAAAAUCUGCCAACCUAAAUUGGCACGGGCGGAGUACAUGGGCGGGCGCUACACGUGCGCCCGCCCGCCCACUCUGCGGGCCUAGAGAGCAGCUGCAUUAGACUGAAGACCUCAUCAAUUUUGAAAUCAUAUCAGGCAAAUAAGUGAGGCCAAUAGCAAUUGAUGUGAAUAACCAGGGGGUAAAAUAUCUUACCAGUUAGGCUAAUCACUCGUGAUAGAGAUUAAGGCUUUCACUUGUGAGCUAAGAAAAGCACAUGCAUUGCAUUGGCCUCAUAGCAUAUUUUCGUGAGAAAACGGUCUUAACAGAAGGCUUUUCAGAUUGCCCGCUUUUGCUGCUUCGUGAAUUUUUUUAGCACUCAUGAUCUCAGAAUUAUGAUCGACCAAACUGUUACCUUUCUCACCAUAGCUUCAUCAUCUGGGCUGAAGGUUUUGGAAUAUUUCAUUAGAAUUUGGGGUAUUCUGAUGAAGCAUUUAGGGUUUUGGGGGGGCCUUUGUGAUCACUGGUUAAAGACAUGGUUGAGGAGAAUGGCAGUAAGAAAAUUAACCCAAGUGAAAAAGUAGUCUUUGCAACGAGACCCAAACCCUGCCUCGAGAAAAAAAAAUUGCAAAACAAACGCUCUCGUACACCAAGUCAAAUAAAACCUCAAGAAAAAAAUUGCAAAUUUGUUUUUUUCCAUUUCUAAAAAAUUGUCUCUUUACAAAAACAACCCUAAUUUCCAAACUUCAAUAAAAAGCAGGUUUCUUAUUGAAAACUAGAAUACUAAGAAGCUUGAGUUAUCUUCAAAAAUUAGGGUGUUUGAAAUAGAAAACAACUGACCCAUUUGAAUCUUCAAAAAUUAGGGUGUGGGUGUUUGAAAUAGAAAACAACUGACCCAAUAGAAUAUAAAGAUAUUCAGAUCAGAACUCUGAAAUUUAAGAAGAAGAAUAUGAUGAUUUUUGAGAAAUUCGUACCUUUUCUGUUUCAAAUAGGAACGGUGAGAGAGAAAUGCGAGUAUAGCUGGCAGAAAAUUUGGGGGUUUCCAUGCUUUUCUUUCCCUCUAUAACCGUUGAAAAGACAUGACAGAGACGCGUCAGUUAGGGUUUUUCUUCUCUCCCCUUUCAGCCUUCUGGAGCAAGUCUUAGAAGCCCAAUUUUAGGAUGCAAUAUCAGCCUUUUCUCAGCACAAAUUUCAUUGAUGUAUAUACUCAUGCCAAUGUUUUGAAAUUCGGAUGAUCAGUCCCUACUUGAAUUGAUAGAAAUCCCCAAUAUAGUCACAUUUAACUGAUUCAUAGGCGUGAAAAAUCCACAUUAAAUUGAAAAAAAAAUUAUCAAA
Molecule: long non-coding RNA, 3564 nt
Filed under: Amborella trichopoda
Lineage: Eukaryota; Viridiplantae; Streptophyta; Magnoliopsida; Amborellales; Amborellaceae
Description: long non-coding RNA (ATRI_LNC002366)
Source: RNAcentral